Molecule: transfer RNA, 78 nt
Filed under: Labeo dussumieri
Lineage: Eukaryota; Metazoa; Chordata; Actinopteri; Cypriniformes; Cyprinidae
Description: tRNA-Lys
Source: RNAcentral
CGCUAGGAAGCUAAAUAUUGGACAAAGCAUUGGCCCUUUAAGCCAAAGAUUGGUGAUUCCCGACCCACCCCCUAGUGA